Vigna angularis (adzuki bean) is the source of this 83-nucleotide small nucleolar RNA. It matches the Rfam family "Small nucleolar RNA Z102/R77". From Rfam's summary of the family: Z102 and R77 and are members of the C/D class of snoRNA which contain the C (UGAUGA) and D (CUGA) box motifs. Most of the members of the box C/D family function in directing site-specific 2'-O-methylation of substrate RNAs. Lineage: Eukaryota; Viridiplantae; Streptophyta; Magnoliopsida; Fabales; Fabaceae. The record is from Rfam.
GAAUGACACAAUUAUUGUUUAUUUCUUAAUUGUUUUGAUAGCCUGUAUGAUGACACUUUUGCAUUAGUUCUAUCUAAUAAUUC